RNAcentral lists this ribosomal RNA (1175 nucleotides) under Staphylococcus aureus. RNAcentral's name for it is "partial 23S ribosomal RNA". It matches the Rfam family "Bacterial large subunit ribosomal RNA", at positions 1028 to 2204 of the family's 2925-position model. The record is from RNAcentral. Lineage: Bacteria; Bacillati; Bacillota; Bacilli; Caryophanales; Staphylococcaceae.
CAGACCACCAGCUAAGGUCCCAAAAUAUAUGUUAAGUGGAAAAGGAUGUGGCGUUGCCCAGACAACUAGGAUGUUGGCUUAGAAGCAGCCAUCAUUUAAAGAGUGCGUAAUAGCUCACUAGUCGAGUGACACUGCGCCGAAAAUGUACCGGGGCUAAACAUAUUACCGAAGCUGUGGAUUGUCCUUUGGACAAUGGUAGGAGAGCGUUCUAAGGGCGUUGAAGCAUGAUCGUAAGGACAUGUGGAGCGCUUAGAAGUGAGAAUGCCGGUGUGAGUAGCGAAAGACGGGUGAGAAUCCCGUCCACCGAUUGACUAAGGUUUCCAGAGGAAGGCUCGUCCGCUCUGGGUUAGUCGGGUCCUAAGCUGAGGCCGACAGGCGUAGGCGAUGGAUAACAGGUUGAUAUUCCUGUACCACCUAUAAUCGUUUUAAUCGAUGGGGGGACGCAGUAGGAUAGGCGAAGCGUGCGAUUGGAUUGCACGUCUAAGCAGUAAGGCUGAGUAUUAGGCAAAUCCGGUACUCGUUAAGGCUGAGCUGUGAUGGGGAGAAGACAUUGUGUCUUCGAGUCGUUGAUUUCACACUGCCGAGAAAAGCCUCUAGAUAGAAAAUAGGUGCCCGUACCGCAAACCGACACAGGUAGUCAAGAUGAGAAUUCUAAGGUGAGCGAGCGAACUCUCGUUAAGGAACUCGGCAAAAUGACCCCGUAACUUCGGGAGAAGGGGUGCUCUUUAGGGUUAACGCCCAGAAGAGCCGCAGUGAAUAGGCCCAAGCGACUGUUUAUCAAAAACACAGGUCUCUGCUAAACCGUAAGGUGAUGUAUAGGGGCUGACGCCUGCCCGGUGCUGGAAGGUUAAGAGGAGUGGUUAGCUUCUGCGAAGCUACGAAUCGAAGCCCCAGUAAACGGCGGCCGUAACUAUAACGGUCCUAAGGUAGCGAAAUUCCUUGUCGGGUAAGUUCCGACCCGCACGAAAGGCGUAACGAUUUGGGCACUGUCUCAACGAGAGACUCGGUGAAAUCAUAGUACCUGUGAAGAUGCAGGUUACCCGCGACAGGACGGAAAGACCCCGUGGAGCUUUACUGUAGCCUGAUAUUGAAAUUCGGCACAGCUUGUACAGGAUAGGUAGGAGCCUUUGAAACGUGAGCGCUAGCUUACGUGGAGGCGCUGGUGGGAUACUACC